GAUGAACGCUAGCGGGAGGCUUAACACAUGCAAGUCGAGGGGUAAAUGGUAGCAAUACUAUGAGACCGGCGGACGGGUGCGUAACGCGUAUGCAACAUACCUUGUGCAGGGGGAUAGCCCGUGGAAACGCGGAUUAAUAUUCCAUAGUCCAGCUAUAUCGCAUGGUAUAGUUGGUAAAGAUUUAUCGGCACAAGUUUGGCAUGCGCCUGAUUAGCUUGUUGGUAGGGUAACGGCCUACCAAGGCUACGAUCAGUAGGGGUUCUGAGAGGAUUAACCCCCACACUGGUACUGAGACACGGACCAGACUCCUACGGGAGGCAGCAGUGAGGAAUAUUGGUCAAUGGGCGGAAGCCUGAACCAGCCAUCCCGCGUGAAGGAAGACAGCCUUACGGGUUGUAAACUUCUUUUCUGUCAGAAGAAUAAGCUUGUCGAGACGAGUGAUGCCGGUAUGACAGGAAUAAGCAUCGGCUAACUCCGUGCCAGCAGCCGCGGU
This 493-nucleotide ribosomal RNA is filed under the name uncultured bacterium. RNAcentral's name for it is "bacterial SSU rRNA". It matches the Rfam family "Bacterial small subunit ribosomal RNA", at positions 28 to 521 of the family's 1533-position model. The record is from RNAcentral.